UGAGGAAUUUUGGACAAUGGGGGAAACCCUGAUCCAGCGACGCCGCGUGGAGGACGAAGGUCUUCGGAUUGUAAACUCCUUUUGCAGGGGACGAAUGAGCUCCGGUUUUAAGCCGGGGAAGUGACGGUACCCUGUGAAUAAGCCACGGCUAACUUCGUGCCAGCAGCCGCGGUAAGACGAAGGUGGCUAGCGUUACUCGGAAUUACUAGGCGUAAAGGGCAGGUAGGCGGUUCGGUAAGUCUAUUGUGAAAUCUUCCGGCUUAACUGGAAGGGGUCAAUAGAUACUGCCGGGCUUGAGUGUGUGAGAGGGUGCUGGAAUUCCCGGUGUAGCGGUGAAAUGCGUAGAGAUCGGGAGGAACACCUAUGGCGAAAGCAGGCACCUGGCACAUUACUGACGCUGAGCUGCGAAAGCUAGGGGAGCAAACAGG
This 428-nucleotide ribosomal RNA is filed under the name uncultured bacterium. RNAcentral describes it as "bacterial SSU rRNA". It matches the Rfam family "Bacterial small subunit ribosomal RNA", at positions 355 to 776 of the family's 1533-position model. The record is from RNAcentral.